UCCUGUUUGACACAGGCAGUUCCUCCAGAGUCCCCAACUAAAUGAUGGUAACUGAAGGUGAGGGUUGCGCUCGUUGCGGGACUUAACCCAACAUCUCACGACACGAGCUGACGACAGCCAUGCAGCACCUGUCUCUGUUCCGGCCGAACCGAAGUGUACGUUACAUACACGGCGAACAGGAUGUCAAGAGCUGGUAAGGUUCUUCGCGUUGCCUCGAAUUAAACCACAUGCUCCACCGCUUGUGCGGGUCCCCGUCAAUUCCUUUGAGUUUUAAUCUUGCGACCGUACUCCCCAGGCGGGAUGCUUAACGCGUUAGCUACGACACCGAGACUUAAGUCCCGACGUCUAGCAUCCAUCGUUUAGGGCGUGGACUAC
RNAcentral lists this unclassified non-coding RNA (375 nucleotides) under uncultured Rickettsiales bacterium. RNAcentral's name for it is "contains 16S-23S intergenic spacer region". The record is from RNAcentral. Lineage: Bacteria; Pseudomonadati; Pseudomonadota; Alphaproteobacteria; Rickettsiales.